RNAcentral lists this ribosomal RNA (1491 nucleotides) under Lactiplantibacillus plantarum. RNAcentral's name for it is "Lactobacillus plantarum 16S ribosomal RNA". It matches the Rfam family "Bacterial small subunit ribosomal RNA". The record is from RNAcentral. Lineage: Bacteria; Bacillati; Bacillota; Bacilli; Lactobacillales; Lactobacillaceae.
GAACGCUGSCGGCGUGCCUAAUACAUGCAAGUCGAACGAACUCUGGUAUUGAUUGGUGCUUGCAUCAUGAUUUACAUAGUGAGUGGCGAACUGGUGAGUAACACGUGGGAAACCUGCCCAGAAGCGGGGGAUAACACCUGGAAACAGAUGCUAAUACCGCAUAACAACUUGGACCGCAUGGUCCGAGCUUGAAAGAUGGCUUCGGCUAUCACUUUUGGAUGGUCCCGCGGCGUAUUAGCUAGAUGGUGGGGUAACGGCUCACCAUGGCAAUGAUACGUAGCCGACCUGAGAGGGUAAUCGGCCACAUUGGGACUGAGACACGGCCCAAACUCCUACGGGAGGCAGCAGUAGGGAAUCUUCCACAAUGGACGAAAGUCUGAUGGAGCAACGCCGCGUGAGUGAAGAAGUUUCGGCUCGUAAAACUCUGUUGUUAAAGAAGAACAUAUCUGAGAGUAACUGUUCAGGUAUUGACGGUAUUUAACCAGAAAGCCACGGCUAACUACGUGCCAGCAGCCGCGGUAAUACGUAGGUGGCAAGCGUUGUCCGGAUUUAUUGGGCGUAAAGCGAGCGCAGGCGGUUUUUUAAGUCUGAUGUGAAAGCCUUCUCAACCGAAGAAGUGCAUCGGAAACUGGGAAACUUGAGUGCAGAAGAGGACAGUGGAACUCCAUGUGUAGCGGUGAAAUGCGUAGAUAUAUGGAAGAACACCAGUGGCGAAGGCGGCUGUCUGGUCUGUAACUGACGCUGAGGCUCGAAAGUAUGGGUAGCAAACAGGAUUAGAUACCCUGGUAGUCCAUACCGUAAACGAUGAAUGCUAAGUGUUGGAGGGUUUCCGCCCUUCAGUGCUGCAGCUAACGCAUUAAGCAUUCCGCCUGGGGAGUACGGCCGCAAGGCUGAAACUCAAAAAUUGACGGGGGCCCGCACAAGCGGUGGAGCAUGUGGUUUAAUUCGAAGCUACGCGAAGAACCUUACCAGGUCUUGACAUACUAUGCAAAUCUAAGAGAUUAGACGUUCCCUUCGGGGACAUGGAUACAGGUGGUGCAUGGUUGUCGUCAGCUCGUGUCGUGAGAUGUUGGGUUAAGUCCCGCAACGAGCGCAACCCUUAUUAUCAGUUGCCAGCAUGUUGGGCACUCUGGUGAGACUGCCGGUGACAAACCGGAGGAAGGUGGGGAUGACGUCAAAUCAUCAUGCCCCUUAUGACCUGGGCUACACACGUGCUACAAUGGAUGGUACAACGAGUUGCGAACUCCGAGAGUAAGCUAAUCUCUUAAAGCCAUUCUCAGUUCGGAUUGUAGGCUGCAACUCGCCUACAUGAAGUCGGAAUCGCUAGUAAUCGCGGAUCAGCAUGCCGCGGUGAAUACGUUCCCGGGCCUUGUACACACCGCCCGUCACACCAUGAGAGUUUGUAACACCCAAAGUCGGUGGGGUAACCUUUUAGGAACCAGCCGCCUAAGGUGGGACAGAUGAUUAGGGUGAAGGUAACAAGGUAGCCGU